GACGAACGCUGGCGGCGUGCUUAACACAUGCAAGUCGAACGGAAAGGCCCUGCUUUUGUGGGGUGCUCGAGUGGCGAACGGGUGAGUAACACGUGAGUAACCUGCCCUUGACUUUGGGAUAACUUCAGGAAACUGGGGCUAAUACCGGAUAGGAGCUCCUGCUGCAUGGUGGGGGUUGGAAAGUUUCGGCGGUUGGGGAUGGACUCGGGGCUUAACAGCUUGUUGGUGGGGUAGUGGCUUACCAAGGCUUUGACGGGUAGCCGGCCUGGGAGGGUGACCGGCCACAUUGGGACUGAGAUACGGACCAGACGCCUACGGGAGGCAGCAGUGGGGAAUAUUGCACAAUGGGCGGAAGCCUGAUGCAGCAACGCCGCGUGCGGGAUGACGGCCUUCGGGUUGUAAACCGCUUUCGCCUGUGACGAAGCGUGAGUGACGGUAAUGGGUAAAGAAGCACCGGCUAACUACGUG
RNAcentral lists this ribosomal RNA (468 nucleotides) under uncultured bacterium. Its description in RNAcentral is "partial 16S ribosomal RNA". It matches the Rfam family "Bacterial small subunit ribosomal RNA", at positions 28 to 507 of the family's 1533-position model. The record is from RNAcentral.